GAGGGGGGGGGAGCAAGGGCGAAGCUGAUGCAGCAACGCCGCGUGAGGGAUGCACGGCCUUCGGGUUGUAAACCUCUUUUAGCAGGGAAGAAGCGAAAGUGACGGUACCUGCAGAAAAAGCGCCGGCUAACUACGUGCCAGCAGCCGCGGUAAUACGUAGGGCGCAAGCGUUAUCCGGAAUUAUUGGGCGUAAAGAGCUCGUAGGCGGUUUGUCGCGUCUGCUGUGAAAUCCCGAGGCUCAACCUCGGGCCUGCAGUGGGUACGGGCAGACUAGAGUGCGGUAGGGGAGAUUGGAAUUCCUGGUGUAGCGGUGGAAUGCGCAGAUAUCAGGAGGAACACCGAUGGCGAAGGCAGAUCUCUGGGCCGUAACUGACGCUGAGGAGCGAAAGGGUGGGGAGCAAACAGGCUUAGAUACCCUGGUAGUCCACCCCGUAAACGUUGGGAACUAGUUGUGGGGACCAUUCCACGGUUUCCGUGACGCAGCUAACGCAUUAAGUUCCCCGCCUGGGGAGUACGGCCGCAAGGCUAAAACUCAAAGGAAUUGACGGGGACCCGCACAAGCGGCGGAGCAUGCGGAUUAAUUCGAUGCAACGCGAAGAACCUUACCAAGGCUUGACAUACACCAGAACGGGCCAGAAAUGGUCAACUCUUUGGACACUGGUGAACAGGUGGUGCAUGGUUGUCGUCAGCUCGUGUCGUGAGAUGUUGGGUUAAGUCCCGCAACGAGCGCAACCCUCGUUCUAUGUUGCCAGCACGUAAUGGUGGGAACUCAUGGGAUACUGCCGGGGUCAACUCGGAGGAAGGUGGGGAUGACGUCAAAUCAUCAUGCCCCUUAUGUCUUGGGCUUCACGCAUGCUACAAUGGCCGGUACAAAGGGCUGCAAUACCGUGAGGUGGAGCGAAUCCCAAAAGCCGGUCCCAGUUCGGAUUGAGGUCUGCAACUCGACCUCAUGAAGUCGGAGUCGCUAGUAAUCGCAGAUCAGCAACGCUGCGGUGAAUACGUUCCCGGGUCUUGUAAACACGCUCGUCAAGUCAUGAAAGUCGGUAACACUGAAGCGGUGGGCCCAACUCUUGUGAGAGAGACGUCUGAAGUGUGAUCG
RNAcentral lists this ribosomal RNA (1099 nucleotides) under Microbacterium sp. RNAcentral's name for it is "bacterial SSU rRNA". It matches the Rfam family "Bacterial small subunit ribosomal RNA", at positions 354 to 1470 of the family's 1533-position model. The record is from RNAcentral. Lineage: Bacteria; Bacillati; Actinomycetota; Actinomycetes; Micrococcales; Microbacteriaceae.